RNAcentral lists this ribosomal RNA (247 nucleotides) under uncultured bacterium. RNAcentral's name for it is "partial 16S ribosomal RNA". It matches the Rfam family "Bacterial small subunit ribosomal RNA", at positions 530 to 776 of the family's 1533-position model. The record is from RNAcentral.
GGAUCCAAGCGUUAUCCGGAUUUAUUGGGUUUAAAGGGUGCGUAGGCGGCUUCUUAAGUCAGGGGUGAAAGACGGUGGCUCAACCAUCGCAGUGCCCUUGAUACUGAUGAGCUUGAAUACACUUGAGGUAGGCGGAAUGUGACAAGUAGCGGUGAAAUGCAUAGAUAUGUCACAGAACACCAAUUGCGAAGGCAGCUUACUAAGGUGCAAUUGACGCUGAGGCACGAAAGCGUGGGGAGCAAACAGG